Molecule: long non-coding RNA, 1909 nt
Filed under: Nicotiana tabacum (common tobacco)
Lineage: Eukaryota; Viridiplantae; Streptophyta; Magnoliopsida; Solanales; Solanaceae
Description: long non-coding RNA (NTAB_LNC002762)
Source: RNAcentral
CAUCUUCUUCUUCUUCUUCUUCUUCUUCUUCUUCUUCUUCUUCUUCUAGCCCUUCUAUUGGAGAACUCUCAAUUCACACAAGUACCAUUCUCCCACUACCAUCAAGAUCAUAUUUGGUUACAUAAAAGUUUUAGUCUUUAUCUUUUGAAUAUGUUAGAAUGUUAUCUUCAAGAAUCAAGAUGGGUUAAGCUUAUUUGAAACCCUAGGUUGGAUUUGUAGAGAAACUCUCUCAAACUUGUGGUAAGAUUCUUGUUCAACAUAUUUGGGUGAAAUUAUUAAGUUUGUUGUUAGAGAAUUUGAUAUUUUGAAAGUAAGAGAUUUAAUCCCGUUUUUGAACUGGGAAGCAGUUAGUAGUUUGAGCUUAACUUUUUCUCUAAAACUCGGAUUGUAGUACUUCAAAAUUCUGAAAAAAUAUAAGACAUAGAUCUACAAUUGGUAUGAAGACCGAAAUGGCCAGUUCUUCCCUCUACUAUGUCAAAAAGGAUCUGAAAUACAGGACAGAGUUGCUGCCAGAUUUUUAUUAAAAUAUUUGUGACCCAUUUAGUCCCCCUUUUGAUAUUCAUCAUGAUUUGGUUUAAAUAUAUUUAAAUUUCAGACCUUAAGUGAGUUUUGAUUAUGUGUUUAAGGUACAAGAUACAUUCGUUCAAGUUAAGGAGCACACCUUAGGAAAAUCGCUCUUUUCUUGGCUUAGAAGAUCUUAAAUCCCUUGAUGUCGUUUGAGCUUUAAAAACACUAAAGCUCCAAGGUUUGCACAUAAACUUGAGUGUUUCUUUCAAUUUAAUUUGUUGAGAUAUUGUAAGUGGUUAAGGUUUGGUGAAUUUUUUUUUUACCUUACUUUAAAUUUGUUGUCAUAUUGACUUGGUUGCUACUUUACUAGUUUACUUGCAUUGUUGCUUGACAAAGAAUAUCUUGAGGCAUUUUGAUUUAUUAGUGGUCAUUGAGGGUAUAAUUUCGUAAUUGAGUUAUGAAUAUGUUAAAAAUUAUAUGGGUGUCAUGUGAAGUAUUUUUGAAAGACAAUUUAACUCGCCCACAUAUAUGGAUUGCUUGAGCACCACUCAUUCUUGUUGGGAUUUUAUCCCUCUCGUGAUAGUGACUUUGUCACUUUUAUUGGCAUGCCUUUUUAUUUGGAUCUUGACCCAUCUUGACUUUGGAUUCACAUUUCAUCUUAAUCAUGGACUUUGUCCAUUUUGAGUAUGGAUGGGAAAGCCACUUUCAAUAUGGCUCUUGAUUCUGUUGAUAAUUGGGUGACGACCCUACUUGAUCUAGGACUCCGGUCCUUCUUGUUACUUGAUUUUGCUUUGAUGUAAUUGCAUGACGCAUGUGUUGGGCGAAUCAACUAAUCGGUGGACUUUCUCGGAUUAUAGUCGAAAAUCUUCUUGACAUUUGACAUUUUGGAUAAUGGUAUCUUGAACAAUGUUAUAAUUUUAUAUUUAGUCCUCUUGAGAUGAUUGCGCCUUCAUUAAGUACUUGAUGUUGAUUUUAAUAAGCUCAUAUCUGGAAUUUAUUCCUUGUAUUCAUUUUAUAGUUUACCUUUCUUUUAUUAUGAUAUGUUAGUUAAGUUUAUGUGCCACUAAGCUUUAUGCUUAGCGAUAGUUUGUUACUAUCGUAGGUGAUGUGCCGGGAGAUGCUUGAGGAUAUCAUUUGAAGUAGACUCUUUGGAAGAUUAGAUGAAGAUCACACUUGCAUAUGCAUAUGUAAUUGUUUGUUUGUAGACUUUUGGGGACUCGUACAUGAUCCUUAUGAUACACUUAGAUAUGCACUCUUGAAUGAUUAUUAGGUCAUGACACUAUUAUUUUGGUAACUUAAUCUUGGUGAAUGAUUUGACCCUUUUUUGGGAGGUGUUUAUGCCCAAGUUUUGUAAUUUAUUAAAUUUAUUACUUGAAUUGAACUUGGGAGAUUUUUAUUUUUG